UACGUAGGGUGCAAGCGUUAAUCGGAAUUACUGGGCGUAAAGCGUGCGCAGGCGGCUUUGCAAGACAGAUGUGAAAUCCCCGGGCUUAACCUGGGAGCUGCAUUUGUGACUGCAUGGCUGGAGUGCGGGAGAGGGGGAUGGAAUUCCGCGUGUAGCAGUGAAAUGCGUAGAUAUGCGGAGGAACACCGAUGGCGAAGGCAAUCCCCUGGGCCUGCACUGACGCUCAUGCACGAAAGCGUGGGGAGCAAACAGG
Molecule: ribosomal RNA, 253 nt
Filed under: uncultured bacterium
Lineage: Bacteria
Description: partial 16S ribosomal RNA
Rfam family: Bacterial small subunit ribosomal RNA
Source: RNAcentral